GCGACCCAUACUUGGUUUCAA
Molecule: microRNA, 21 nt
Filed under: Petromyzon marinus (sea lamprey)
Lineage: Eukaryota; Metazoa; Chordata; Hyperoartia; Petromyzontiformes; Petromyzontidae
Also listed under: 6 other names
Description: Pma-Mir-551-o1_3p (mature (guide))
Source: RNAcentral